CCGCCGGCCCCGCAGACCUCCCCACGCGCGGCUCGGGCCCCGGGCGCCGCGCGGGGUUGGCUCAGAGCCAAAGUCGCGUUCCCCGCUGCCCCCUCUCCCGGCUUCUGUCUUCUUGCUGGCCGGCCGCGGGGUCUCUGUAAGGCUCCGCCUGACUGCCCCGGGCUUCCCCUUGCUGCGGGGAGGACGGCGGCGCUUCCGGGAGGGCCGUGACCGCGGGGCGGGCCUGGCGCCCGGGGCCGCGGCUUCUCCCCCGCCGGCGCGCACCGCCCACUUGCGGGAGCCUUUCCUCCGGCUGCCGCGCCCUCGCCGCGCGCCUUCCAGGGCCGGUUCUCCCCAUCCCGGCUGCGUCAGGCUUUAUCGAAAAUGCGUCUUUGCUCGCCUCUCCUGCCUACGGAGUGGGCCGUGCGCUCCACGCUCUAUGAAGUCAUUACUCCCAGUCGUUACUAAGCUGCUCCCCCUGUGGCCCUAUGAAAGAUUCUCUCUGGGCCGGAGGCCCUGUUACCCUCAUUUUUGUGACCUGGAACGUGCAGAGGCUCCAUACACCCCGGGGAGACGGAGGGGAGAGAGUGAUCCCGCCUCCCACCCUUUUGGGGGACCUCACGAGUAUCCUCUGUUUGCUGUUUCAUUAUGCAAAACGCGGUCUCGUUUCGACAAGCUCGAUAGAAGCUUUCACGUUUUCAGGUUGCUGUAGAUCCGUUAACUCCUUGGGCUUCUGAAGGGAAGCCCACCCUGCGAGUUGGCUUUGGUCCGGGUCUAGCAUGUCACCCUAUUAAGGCUCAGCGAGCGCAAUGCCAAAGGCCAGAUGGCUCCAGCCCAGACUUGACCCUGGGGCUCGGUGCCGCCAGCCCAGCUCUGGAGGUGGCCUGUGUCCCCAUCUCCUACGCCUGCCACAUGGUUCUCAACCAAAAUCUCAGGAAAAUGGUAAAAGAGGGAAGAGGUGGAUGCCCAGCUUCUAUUUAAUUCUCUUCCAGAUUCUUCCUGGGCCCUGCCUGGCACAAGAGGUAUUGCUUAAGAAGGAGGCUCAUUUAAUGGAUGUUCAGUUACAUCCAAUGUUUGCCGGAGAAUAUUCCAGAGGGCAGAUGCCUGAAUCAUCAUGCAGCCAAUGCAGGCCAGAAGGACGGAUAAUAGUGAAACGGCACUGGACUGGGCCUCUGGGUCAAGUUCCCUUCUCGGUUAUGCCAACAAGGCUAUUAUACUCUGUACUCUCAAUGAGAGCAGUACUCUCUGGGCCUGAUUUUGCCCCCAGAAAAAUGAGGAUCUCAGUGGUGAGACUGAAAUGGGGUCCCCCUGGAGGCAAGACAGCAGACAAAGAGGAUGGCCAAAGCAGGGGCUUGAUCAACACAUGA
Molecule: long non-coding RNA, 1346 nt
Organism: Vulpes vulpes (red fox)
Lineage: Eukaryota; Metazoa; Chordata; Mammalia; Carnivora; Canidae
Source: Ensembl